UUGUCCAGGACAAUUCUCAGCAACAAAAGAGUGAUCAAAUUAAGAUCCUACAUCUGUCUGUCGAGGGCUUCCUUGGCAACAGGUUAAAAGAGGUAGGUAGAAUGGCUUGUUCUAUGGAUAGCCCACCUCACAUACCACAGCUGCACCGGACACUGCAAAGGUGUGAAAAAAACACUGCAACUACACCAUGUGCAGACCAGACAAGAAGAACAGAGACCGACACUGAAACAAACCAGAUGUGUGUGUGUGUGUGUGUGUGUGUGUGUGUGUGUGUGUGUGUGUGAGAGAAAGGUGAUGUGGUUUGAUGGCUUCGGUGGGGAUUACAACAUGAAAGAAAGUAGCAGAAAAAGGAUGUAAAGAGGGUUAGAAAGUAAGAUAAGAUUUUUUUUCAUCAAAAGUUUGAAAUCUAGAUAAAGAACAUUUGGUUCAUUCAUAAUGAAAACCUUCCGCAUUUAAGAUGCCAUAUGUCUGUGGCAGAGUUAUUGCAAAUGAUAUAUCUCUUUUUUCAUGGGCCUAAUGGGAAAGACGUAACUUAACUGUAAAAAUGUGAACACAACCAGUCAUAAUGUUUUUAUCUGAUUGUCAGAAAAGCCACCUGCUCAAGUUUUUCUACUCCAAAAUCAUUCCAGCAUCCAAACAGUGCACUGUGUGCACCUGCCAUUUGAUGAAUGGAAAGACACAAUUGUUACAAAUUGCUUAGAGGUGGAUCUUUGCUAUAAAAGAUCUCAGUUGCCAUUUUGUUGACACUCUCAGAAUUAAUUUAUAGACACUGAAUUGAUCUGAGAGUCAAAGGGCUAUGGUGAAGCUUUAUAUUAUUAAAAGAUGAAGUGUAAAGUAUAA
This is a long non-coding RNA of Oncorhynchus nerka (sockeye salmon), 840 nucleotides long. RefSeq lists it as uncharacterized. The transcript is spliced from 2 exons. The record is from RefSeq and is a predicted model, not a curated record. NCBI's taxonomy places the organism in Eukaryota, Metazoa, Chordata, Actinopteri, Salmoniformes, Salmonidae.